GUGCUCGCUUUGGGAGCACAUAUACUAAGAUUGGAAUGAUACAGAGAAGAUUAGCAUGGACCCUGCGCAAGGAUGACACACAUAUGGCAUUUGUUGAAGAAUCUGUGU
This is a small nuclear RNA of Ochotona curzoniae (black-lipped pika), 108 nucleotides long. The record is from RefSeq and is a predicted model, not a curated record. NCBI's taxonomy places the organism in Eukaryota, Metazoa, Chordata, Mammalia, Lagomorpha, Ochotonidae.